RNAcentral lists this ribosomal RNA (253 nucleotides) under uncultured bacterium. Its description in RNAcentral is "partial 16S ribosomal RNA". It matches the Rfam family "Bacterial small subunit ribosomal RNA", at positions 524 to 776 of the family's 1533-position model. The record is from RNAcentral.
UACGGAGGGCGCAAACGUUGCUCGGAAUCAUUGGGCGUAAAGCGCACGUAGGCGGCCUGAUAAGUCGGGUGUGAAAGCCCUGGGCUCAACCCAGGAAGUGCACUCGAAACUGUCAGGCUUGAAUAUGGAAGAGGGUCGCGGAAUUCCCGGUGUAGAGGUGAAAUUCGUAGAUAUCGGGAGGAACACCAGUGGCGAAGGCGGCGACCUGGGCCAAUAUUGACGCUGAGGUGCGAAAGCGUGGGGAGCAAACAGG